This 64-nucleotide transfer RNA is filed under the name Photinus corruscus. Its description in RNAcentral is "tRNA-Tyr". The record is from RNAcentral. Lineage: Eukaryota; Metazoa; Arthropoda; Insecta; Coleoptera; Lampyridae.
AGUAGAAUGGCCGAGUUUAGGCGAUAAAUUGUAAAUUUAUUUACGGAUAUUAAUCCUUCUACUA